CCUACGGGAGGCAGCAGUGAGGAAUAUUGGUCAAUGGGCGCGAGCCUGAACCAGCCAAGUCGCGUGAGGGAUGACGGUCCUACGGAUUGUAAACCUCUUUUGCCGGGGAGCAAACGUGCGUUCGUGAGCGCGCGUCCAGGUUACCCGUGGAAAAAGCAUCGGCUAACUCCUUGCCGGCAGCCGCGUGAAUACGGAGGAUGAGAGCGUUACCCGGAUUUAUGGGUUUUAAAGGGUGCGUAGGCGGGAUGCCAAGUCAGCGGGAAAAAUGCGGUUAUCAACGCCGGCGAGCCGUUGAAACUGGCGUUCUUGAGUGAGCGAGAGGUAUGCGGAAUGCGUGGUGUAGCGGUGAAAUGCAUAGAUAUCACGAAGAACUCCGAUUGCGAAGGCAGCAUACCGGAACCCUACUGACGCUGAGGCACGAAAGCGUGGGUAUCGAACAGGAUUAGAUACCCGUGUAGUC
RNAcentral lists this ribosomal RNA (460 nucleotides) under uncultured bacterium. RNAcentral describes it as "partial 16S ribosomal RNA". It matches the Rfam family "Bacterial small subunit ribosomal RNA", at positions 338 to 795 of the family's 1533-position model. The record is from RNAcentral.